RNAcentral lists this non-coding RNA (94 nucleotides) under bovine gut metagenome. The record is from RNAcentral.
AAAAGGGGAGCUAGGGGACUUGGCCUGGCUGAGAGGAGCGACCAAAUCGCUCGACCCGAGAACCUGAUCUGGAUAAUGCCAGCGUAGGGACCAU